RNAcentral lists this ribosomal RNA (279 nucleotides) under uncultured bacterium. RNAcentral describes it as "partial 16S ribosomal RNA". It matches the Rfam family "Bacterial small subunit ribosomal RNA", at positions 506 to 784 of the family's 1533-position model. The record is from RNAcentral.
UGCCAGCAGCCGCGGUAAUACGGAGGGAGCUAGCGUUGUUCGGAAUUACUGGGCGUAAAGCGUGCGUAGGCGGAUCGACAAGUUGGGGGUGAAAUCCCGGGGCUUAACCCCGGAACUGCCCUCAAAACUGUCGAUCUAGAGACCGGGAGAGGUAAGCGGAAUUCCUAGUGUAGAGGUGAAAUUCGUAGAUAUUAGGAAGAACACCAGUGGCGAAGGCGGCUUACUGGACCGGUACUGACGCUGAGGGUACAAAACCGUGGGAGCGAACAGGAUUAGAUA